Long non-coding RNA from Scophthalmus maximus (turbot), 405 nucleotides. RefSeq lists it as uncharacterized. NCBI's taxonomy places the organism in Eukaryota, Metazoa, Chordata, Actinopteri, Pleuronectiformes, Scophthalmidae. The record is from RefSeq and is a predicted model, not a curated record. The transcript has 2 exons.
AUUAUUAAAGGCUGGGUAGGUGAUUUCGAAAAUCGCCGCAAAGUCCGACUCGCUUCCUUCAGACCUCCGUCCCAAGCCCCUCCCCCCUCAACACAUGAAAGCGCACCGCUGUCUGAGUCUGAGUCUGACUGCGUCGGAGGAGGAGGAAGACAUGAGUGGAGCACAACAGGCUAACUGUCUGCUCGUGGCUCAUUCACAAGCCAGAACUCGAGGACUGAGCUUGGAGCAGUGACGUGACACGAGCCUGCUGCUUCACUUACUACACUUCACAUCAGCAGAUGCUGCUCCACCGGGCCGUCCUGUUACAGGGCAACCUACUUGUGUCUGCCAAAACCACCCACAGACGUGAAAAGAAAGUGCUGUGGGCAACUUCAUGACUCCCGUGUCCAGGCUGCCACAUAUGGA